RNAcentral lists this ribosomal RNA (207 nucleotides) under uncultured bacterium. Its description in RNAcentral is "partial 16S ribosomal RNA". It matches the Rfam family "Bacterial small subunit ribosomal RNA", at positions 568 to 774 of the family's 1533-position model. The record is from RNAcentral.
CUCGUAGGCGGCCAACUAAGUCAGACGUGAAAUCCCUCGGCUUAACCGGGGAACUGCGUCUGAUACUGGAUGGCUCGAGGUUGGGAGAGGGACGCGGAAUUCCAGGUGUAGCGGUGAAAUGCGUAGAUAUCUGGAGGAACACCGGUGGCGAAGGCGGCGUCCUGGACCAAUUCUGACACUGAGGAGCGAAAGCCAGGGGAGCAAACG